This is a long non-coding RNA of Anolis carolinensis (green anole), 376 nucleotides long. RefSeq lists it as uncharacterized. The record is from RefSeq and is a predicted model, not a curated record. The transcript is spliced from 3 exons. NCBI's taxonomy places the organism in Eukaryota, Metazoa, Chordata, Lepidosauria, Squamata, Anolidae.
UUCCGUGGCUGAGAGAGGAGCCGAGCCGGUGGCGGCAGCAGCAGCGUUGGAGGGGUCCUUUUGCUCUCUCUGAAGGAAGUUUCCUCUCACGGUUGGCGGCGGCUCCAAAAGAAGAAGGACGACGACGAGGAGGAGAAGGCCGCCAUUAAAACACACCGGCGACAGGGAUGAGGGCGUGACCAGUAACUGGCAUUCCUGGCAUGGAACUGAGCUGGCUUGAUUUGUGGGGACUAUAAGGUUGCCAUCACGAAAGCCAAAGUGGAUUUCUCCGGUGUGUUGUGCCUGCCCCCUUCCGUCAUUGCUGGAAAUGGGCUGGACGGAGGAGGGGCUGGCGAGAAUGAAGAUGAGGCGGUGUUGGUGUCUCUUUCAGGAGCAC